RNAcentral lists this ribosomal RNA (881 nucleotides) under uncultured fungus. Its description in RNAcentral is "eukaryotic LSU rRNA". The stretch from base 432 to 585 matches the Rfam family "5.8S ribosomal RNA". Lineage: Eukaryota; Fungi. The record is from RNAcentral.
UUCUUGGUCAUUUAGAGGAAGUAAAAGUCGUAACAAGGUUUCCGUAGGUGAACCUGCGGAAGGAUCAUUAAAGAGAUUUAAUAAUUUUGAAAUGGAUUUUUUUGUUUUGGCAAGAGCAUGAGAGCUUUUACUGGGCAAGAAGACAAGAGAUGGAGAGUCCAGCCGGGCCUGCGCUUAAGUGCGCGGUCUUGCUAGGCUUGUAAGUUUCUUUCUUGCUAUUCCAAACGGUGAGAGAUUUCUGUGCUUUUGUUAUAGGACAAUUAAAACCGUUUCAAUACAACACACUGUGGAGUUUUCAUAUCUUUGCAACUUUUUCUUUGGGCAUUCGAGCAAUCGGGGCCCAGAGGUAACAAACACAAACAAUUUUAUCUAUUCAUUAAAUUUUUGUCAAAAACAAGAAUUUUCGUAACUGGAAAUUUUAAAAUAUUAAAAACUUUCAACAACGGAUCUCUUGGUUCUCGCAUCGAUGAAGAACGCAGCGAAAUGCGAUACGUAAUGUGAAUUGCAGAAUUCCGUGAAUCAUCGAAUCUUUGAACGCACAUUGCGCCCCUUGGUAUUCCAGGGGGCAUGCCUGUUUGAGCGUCAUUUCCUUCUCAAACAUUCUGUUUGGUAGUGAGUGAUACUCUUUGGAGUUAACUUGAAAUUGCUGGCCUUUUCAUUGGAUGUUUUUUUUCCAAAGAGAGGUUUCUCUGCGUGCUUGAGGUAUAAUGCAAGUACGGUCGUUUUAGGUUUUACCAACUGCGGCUAAUCUUUUUUUAUACUGAGCGUAUUGGAACGUUAUCGAUAAGAAGAGAGCGUCUAGGCGAACAAUGUUCUUAAAGUUUGACCUCAAAUCAGGUAGGAGUACCCGCUGAACUUAAGCAUAUCAAUAAGCGGAGGAA